This 1512-nucleotide ribosomal RNA is filed under the name Saccharum spontaneum (wild sugarcane). RNAcentral describes it as "bacterial SSU rRNA". It matches the Rfam family "Bacterial small subunit ribosomal RNA". Lineage: Eukaryota; Viridiplantae; Streptophyta; Magnoliopsida; Poales; Poaceae. The record is from RNAcentral.
AGAGUUUGAAUUCCUAGGCUCAGGAUGACUCUAGCGGCAGGCCUAACACAUGCAAGUCUAGGGGUAGUGGAGUGCUGCAGCCCCCUGAGACCGGCGCACGGGUGCGGACGCGUAUGGAACCUGCCCCUGUCAGGGAAUACCCAGGGAAACUUGGAUAAUGCCCCAUGGUAUCAAUACAUCGCAUGAUGUUAUGAUUAAAGAUUUAUCGGACGGUAUGGCCAUGAGUACCAUAGCUUGAUGGUGGGGUAACGGCCCGACCAUGGCACGAUGGUUAGGGGCCCUGAGAGUGGUAUCCCCCACACCUGUUGACGAGCCCGGACCAGCAUCCUACGGAGGCAGCCGUGAAGGAAAUAUUGGACAUGGUCGGAAGCUGAUCCAGCCAUGCCGCGUGCAGGAUGACGGCCCUAUGGGUUGGUAAACUGCUUUUAUACGGGAAGAAACCCACCUACGUGUAUUGGCUGACGGUACCGUAAGAAUAAGGACCGGCUAACUCCUGCCGCAGCCGCGUAAUACGGAGGCCGAGCGUUAUCCGGAAUCAUUGGGUUUUAAAGGGUCCGUAGCGGCCUGGUAAUGUCAGGAGGGGUGAAAGUUUGGGGCUCAACCAUAAAUUGGCCUUUGAUACGCAUGGUCUUUGAUUCCCAUUUUUGGGUUGCCGGGAACAUGUGGUGUAGCGGUGACAUGCAUGUAUCACAUAGAACAACCGAUCGCGAAGGCAGGGGACAACCAUGUACUGACGUCUGAUGGAACGAAAGCUUGGGUAGCGAACGGGAUUAGAUACCACCCCGUAUCCCGCCGUACACGAUGGAUACUUAGCUGUGGGGACAUUGUCUCCGUGCCACUCGAAAGUGAUAAUUGAUUCCCACCUGGGGAGUAACGACCGCAAGGUUGACACUCAAAGGAAUUGACGGGGCCCGCAAACAAGCGGUGGAGCAUGUGGUUUUAACUUCGAUGAUACGCGAGGAACCUUACCGAGGGCUUAAUGCAGGCUGCAUUGGGUGGGAGACAUCCCUUUCUUCGGACGCCUGCAGUGCUCCUGGUUGUGGCGUCAGCCUCGUGCCGUAGUGUCGUUAAGUCCUAUAACGAGCGCAACCCCUACCGUUAGUGCCGCGAGUCAAGUCGGGGACUCUAACGGGACUGGCCGGUGCAACCGUGAGGAGGUGGGGACACGUCAAAUCAUCACGGCCCUUAUACGUCCUGGGCCACACAACUGCUACAAUGGCCGGUAACAGAGGGAAGCAACCCCGCAAGGGGGCGCGGAUCUAUAAAACCGGUCACAUUUCGGAUCGGGGUCUUAAUCUCGACCCCGUGAAGCUGGAAUCGCUAGUAAUCGAUAUCAGCCAUGAUCCGGUGAAUACGUUCCCGGGCCUUGUGUACACAACACCCAGCCCGUCAAGCCAUGGAAGCCGGGAGUGCUGAAGAGUCCCGUCAAACCCUGCAAGGAGGCGGCCUAGGGCAAAAUCGGUAACUAGGGCUCAGUCCGUAACAAUGUAGCCGUACCGGAAGUGGCGGCUG